RNAcentral lists this ribosomal RNA (426 nucleotides) under uncultured Enterococcus sp. RNAcentral's name for it is "bacterial SSU rRNA". It matches the Rfam family "Bacterial small subunit ribosomal RNA", at positions 354 to 771 of the family's 1533-position model. The record is from RNAcentral. Lineage: Bacteria; Bacillati; Bacillota; Bacilli; Lactobacillales; Enterococcaceae.
GUAGGGAAUCUUCGGCAAUGGACGAAAGUCUGACCGAGCAACGCCGCGUGAGUGAAGAAGGUUUUCGGAUCGUAAAACUCUGUUGUUAGAGAAGAACAAGGAUGAGAGUAAAAUGUUCAUCCCUUGACGGUAUCUAACCAGAAAGCCACGGCUAACUACGUGCCAGCAGCCGCGGUAAUACGUAGGUGGCAAGCGUUGUCCGGAUUUAUUGGGCGUAAAGCGAGCGCAGGCGGUUCUUUAAGUCUGAUGUGAAAGCCCCCGGCUCAACCGGGGAGGGUCAUUGGAAACUGGAGAACUUGAGUGCAGAAGAGGAGAGUGGAAUUCCAUGUGUAGCGGUGAAAUGCGUAGAUAUAUGGAGGAACACCAGUGGCGAAGGCGACUCUCUGGUCUGUAACUGACGCUGAGGCUCGAAAGCGUGGGGAGCAA